GUGGCGGACGGGUGAGUAACGCGUAAAGAACUUGCCUUACAGACUGGGACAACAUUUGGAAACGAAUGCUAAUACCGGAUAUUAUGACUGAGUCGCAUGAUUUGGUUAUGAAAGCUAUAUGCGCUGUGAGAGAGCUUUGCGUCCCAUUAGUUAGUUGGUGAGGUAACGGCUCACCAAGACGAUGAUGGGUAGCCGGCCUGAGAGGGUGAACGGCCACAAGGGGACUGAGACACGGCCCUUACUCCUACGGGAGGCAGCAGUGGGGAAUAUUGGACAAUGGACCAAAAGUCUGAUCCAGCAAUUCUGUGUGCACGAUGAAGUUUUUCGGAAUUUAAAGUGCUUUCAGUUGGGAAGAAGUCAGUGACGGUACCAACAGNAAGAAGCGACGGCNUAAAUACGUGCCAGCAGCCGCGGUAAUACGUAUGUCGCNAAGCGUUAUCCGGAUUUAUUGGGGCGUAAAGCGCGUCUAGGCGGUUUAGUAAGUCUGAUGUGAAAAUGCGGGGCUCAACCCCGUAUUGCGUUGGAAACUGCUAAACUAGAGUACUGGAGAGGUAGGCGGAACUACAAGUGUAGAGGUGAAAUUCGUAGAUAUUUGUAGGAAUGCCGAUGGGGAAGCCAGCCUACUGGACAGAUACUGACGCUAAAGCGCGAAAGCGUGGGUAGCAAACAGGAUUAGAUACCCUGGUAGUCCACGCCGUAAACGAUGAUUACUAGGUGUUGGGGGUCGAACCUCAGCGCCCAAGCUAACGCGAUAAGUAAUCCGCCUGGGGAGUACGUACGCAAGUAUGAAACUCAAAGGAAUUGACGGGGACCCGCACAAGCGGUGGAGCAUGUGGUUUAAUUCGACGCAACGCGAGGAACCUUACCAGCGUUUGACAUCCCAAGAAGUUAACAGAGAUGUUUUCGUGCCUCUUCGGAGGAACUUGGUGACAGGUGGUGCAUGGCUGUCGUCAGCUCGUGUCGUGAGAUGUUUGGGUUAAGUCCCGCCAACGAGCGGCACCCCUUUCGUAUGUUACCAUCAUUAAGUUGGGGACUCAUGCGAGACUGCCUGCGAUGAGCAGGAGGAAGGUGGGGAUGACGUCAAGUCAUCAUGCCCCUUAUACGCUGGGCUACACACGUGCUACAAUGGGUAGUACAGAGAGCUGCAAACCUGCGAGGGUAAGCUAAUCUCAUAAAACUAUUCUUAGUUCGGAUUGUACUCUGCAACUCGAGUACAUGAAGUUGGAAUCGCUAGUAAUCGCAAAUCAGCUAUGUUGCGGUGAAUACGUUCUCGGGUCUUGUACACACCGCCCGUCACACCACGAGAGUUGGUUGCACCC
RNAcentral lists this ribosomal RNA (1319 nucleotides) under bacterium NLAE-zl-G238. RNAcentral describes it as "16S ribosomal RNA". It matches the Rfam family "Bacterial small subunit ribosomal RNA", at positions 95 to 1422 of the family's 1533-position model. The record is from RNAcentral.